AAGGAGAAAGGGAAAGGGGAGGAGAGGAGAGAAUAAGAGAAGAGAGCCUGGGAAGAAGCGAGCAGAGAUGAGGAGGCCCUAGCAUCUAGAAGUGGGGAAUGCAGACUCAGAGUAAGAAGUUCCAAACCUUCCUUAGCUGUGGGCAACCAAGGACAUGUUUGGUGUUCCAGAGACCCUGCCAUAAUAACUCUUCUCCCGAGCAGGACCCAGUUAAGUACCUAUUCCCUCCAAGCCAGGAGUGAGAAAGAAGAGGUGUCUGUUUCUAAAGAAAAGAAGAGCUACCAGAGAGGAAGAAACAUAUCCUUCCUGAAGGCUGUGUUUCCCAGCCUUUUUGAAAUUGUUGAAAUACUACUGCUGUUAGCUGCAUCACACCAUGCUACUAUCCUUCCCAAUACUUACUAUAUUUUUAAUUAGAAGUUUUAAUUAAAGUCAAUUAGAAUUA
Long non-coding RNA from Phascolarctos cinereus (koala), 442 nucleotides. RefSeq lists it as uncharacterized. The record is from RefSeq and is a predicted model, not a curated record. Lineage: Eukaryota; Metazoa; Chordata; Mammalia; Diprotodontia; Phascolarctidae.